CCUACGGGAGGCAGCAGUGAGGAAUAUUGGUCAAUGGACGCAAGUCUGAACCAGCCAUGCCGCGUGCAGGAAGACGGCUCUAUGAGUUGUAAACUGCUUUUGUACGAGGGUAAACGCAGAUACGCGUAUCUGUCUGAAAGUAUCGUACGAAUAAGGAUCGGCUAACUCCGUGCCAGCAGCCGCGGUAAUACGGAGGAUUCAAGCGUUAUCCGGAUUUAUUGGGUUUAAAGGGUGCGUAGGCGGUCGGAUAAGUUAGAGGUGAAAUCCCGAGGCUCAACUUCGGAAUUGCCUCUGAUACUGUUCGGCUAGAGAGUAGUUGCGGUAGGCGGAAUGUAUGGUGUAGCGGUGAAAUGCUUAGAGAUCGUACAGAACACCGAUUGCGAAGGCAGCUUACCAAGCUACUUCUGACGUUGAGGCACGAAAGCGUGGGGAGCGAACAGGAUUAGAUACCCCAGUAGUC
This 460-nucleotide ribosomal RNA is filed under the name uncultured bacterium. Its description in RNAcentral is "partial 16S ribosomal RNA". It matches the Rfam family "Bacterial small subunit ribosomal RNA", at positions 338 to 795 of the family's 1533-position model. The record is from RNAcentral.